UGAGGAAUAUUGGUCAAUGGGCGGGAGCCUGAACCAGCCAAGUCGCGUGAAGGAAGAAGGAUCUAUGGUUCGUAAACUUCUUUUGCAGGGGAAUAAAGUGCAGGACGUGUCCUGUUUUGUAUGUACCCUGAGAAUAAGGAUCGGCUAACUCCGUGCCAGCAGCCGCGGUAAUACGGCGGAUCCGAGCGUUAUCCGGAUUUAUUGGGUUUAAAGGGUGCGUAGGUGGUUUGAUAAGUCAGCGGUGAAAGUUUGCAGCUUAACUGUAAAAAUGCCGUUGNAACUGUCGGACUUGAGUGUAAAUGAGGUAGGCGGAAUGCGUGGUGUAGCGGUGAAAUGCAUAGAUAUCACGCAGAACUCCGAUUGCGAAGGCAGCUUACUAAGCUACAACUGACACUGAAGCACGAAAGCGUGGGGAUCAAACA
RNAcentral lists this ribosomal RNA (422 nucleotides) under uncultured bacterium. RNAcentral describes it as "bacterial SSU rRNA". It matches the Rfam family "Bacterial small subunit ribosomal RNA", at positions 355 to 774 of the family's 1533-position model. The record is from RNAcentral.